GAAAAUACAAUACUAGUUGUCAAAUACUUAAGCCUUGGAGAAUUAAUCCUAUUUGAAGAUUUCAGAAAGUUUUUAGGAUUAUUUUUAUAGCAAAAUGAUACCUUCAAGCACUUUUGGUCUCCUAGAGGAUUUCUAAAGCUAUCAUUGGGGUACCCUUACAAAAUUGACAAAACCAAGCUAUAUUCUCUAGAAAUGUGUCCUUUAUUAUAAAGACUGGUUUUCAUUUGAUGAUUGGGGGAGGGUAACUGGUAUUUUUAUCAUUUCAUCAGGAAGCAAAAUUCACACUACAUUUUACAUGUAGACAGAGAUUUGGCAGGAUGAACAGAAGAAUGGAAGUUUCUUCAAGCAAGAGCCAAGCCUUCACAAUCUCCAACAGCAACUCAAACGAUUUCAAGACUGUGUGGGCAGAACAGAAGCCUGUGGGAUGGCAAUGGGUCAGAGCUGCUUAACGAACAGCGUGAAGAUGACCAAAGUUGAAAUAAGAGCCAGAAGUAAAGAUAAAAGGAGAAGUGGCAGCAUAUUGAGACCAGCUCUUCCUCUUAUCAAAGCCUACCUAAGAAAUCAUCUGCAUGGAAGAAAUCUGAGAAGACUUUCUAAGAAAAGCAUUUACCUAACUAGUGUUUACAUAUUAUCACCUCAAAAUACAUACAGCUUGUAUGUUAAUUGGCCAGGACCUGGAUAGUAGAAAAGAACUGGGAAAACCACUCAAGAAAGGAGAAAACACAGAGGUAGGAUACAUUAACAUAUGUUCUACAAGGCCAUGAUAUUACUCUAGAAUCACUUAAAUAUAUUGCUGAGCAUUUCUCUUUGAUUCCAGGUAAGCAAAUGUGACUGUAAUUCAUCUGUGUCUUUAUAAAUGAGUUAGAGGCAGCACAAUGUAAUAAAGAGCAGGAAUUGACAUUAGAUUCAAAUCUGAUCUGACACUGGUUAGCCCUAUCUACGUCUAUGGGAGGAGCUUCUCAAGAUCCCUUAGCCUCAGCCUACUCACCUGUAAAAUAUCUCCCUCACAGUGUUGUUUUAAAGAAAAGUGUUCAUGUAUGUAAAUACCCACUACAGUGAAUGGAAAUAAUAGGCAUUCAAUGAGUAAUAGUGGCAAGAAGAGAAUAAUCAUGGCAAUCAUAUUUGUAGUUGCUAUUGUUAGUUAUUGUUAUUGGCACAUACCAACAGAGAAUUUGUUAGCCUAUAUUCCAUAUCAAAAGCUCUCACUCUAGGGGUGCCUGGGUGGCUCAGUUGGUUAAGUGUCCAACUCUUGGUUUCGGCUCAGCUCAUGAUCUUGGGGCUAUAGGAUCAGUCAGGCUCCAUACUCAACACAGAGUCUGCUUGAGAUUCUUUCCCCUUUCCUUUCUCUUCUGCCUCUCCCCUGCUUUCUCCUUCUUUCUCUUUCCCUCUCAAAUAAAUGAAAUCUAAGAAAAAGC
RNAcentral lists this long non-coding RNA (1415 nucleotides) under Canis lupus familiaris (dog). Its description in RNAcentral is "lncRNA (ENSCAFG00845027473.1)". The record is from RNAcentral. Lineage: Eukaryota; Metazoa; Chordata; Mammalia; Carnivora; Canidae.